Molecule: ribosomal RNA, 1269 nt
Filed under: metagenome
Description: bacterial LSU rRNA
Rfam family: Bacterial large subunit ribosomal RNA
Source: RNAcentral
CCUGUUAGGUUAUAGCAGCCCGUACCGUAAACCGACACAGGUAGUCGAGGAGAAUAUCCUAAGGCGCUCGAGUGAUCCGUGGUAAAGGAACUAGGCAAAUUGACGCUGUAACUUCGGGAUAAGGCGUGCCGCAGUGAUGCGGCCUCAGUAAAAUGGUCCAACCAACUGUUUAACAAAAACACAGGGCCCUGCAAAAUCGAAAGAUGACGUAUAGAGCCUGAUACCUGCCCGGUGCUGGAAGGUUAAGGAAGGAUGUUCGGCGCAAGCCAAAGCUUCUGACUGAAGCCCCAGUAAACGGCGGCCGUAACUAUAACGGUCCUAAGGUAGCGAAAUUCCUUGUCGGGUAAGUUCCGACCUGCACGAAUGGUCUAAUGAGUUGGACACUGUCUCUACCACGAGCUCGGUGAAAUUGUAGUAUCGGUGAAGAUGCCGGUUAAUCGCAACGGGACGGAAAGACCCCGUGAACCUUCACUACAACUUAACAUUGAUUUUGAAUGCCAGAUGUGUAGGAUAGUUGGGAGACUUUGAAGCAGCUUCGCUAGGAGUUGUGGAGUCGUCGUUGAAAUACCAACCUUCUGUUAUUUAGAGUCUAACUCCUGUAAGGGAGGACAUUGUUUGGUGGGUAGUUUGACUGGGGUGGUCGCCUCCUAAAAAGUAACGGAGGCUUGCAAAGGUACCCUCAGUACGGUUGGUAAUCGUACGCAGAGCGCAUUAGUAUAAGGGUGCUUGACUGUGAGGCAAACAAGCCGAGCAGGAGCGAAAGCUGGCUAAAGUGAUCCGGUGGUUCUGAAUGGAAGGGCCAUCGCUCAAAGGAUAAAAGGUACUCCGGGGAUAACAGGCUGAUCUCACCCAAGAGCUCAUAUCGACGGUGAGGUUUGGCACCUCGAUGUCGGUUCGUCACAUCCUGGGGCUGGAGAAGGUCCCAAGGGUUCGGCUGUUCGCCGAUUAAAGUGGCACGUGAACUGGGUUCAGAACGUCGCAAGACAGUUCGGUCCCUAUCUGUUGUGAUCGUUAGUAAAUUGAGAGGACAUGACCUUAGUACGAGAGGACCGGGUCGUACGUACCGCUGGUGUAUCUGUUGUGCCGCCAGGUGCAGUGCAGAGUAGCUAUGUACGGGCAAGAUAAACGCUGAAAGCAUCUAAGCGUGAAACUUACCUCGAGAUGAGUUUACUUUUAAGGGCCGUCGGAGACUACGACGUUGAUAGGCUACAGGUGUAAGGAUAGUAAUAUCGAAGCCGAGUAGUACUAAUUGCCCGUAAGCUUUAGUAA